GUAAUCAGUCCUUUCCUCCUGUACUACUCAAAUGCACCAGAGCUUUCCCAUUUACAGCGUGGGCUGAUAAUAAACACAGUAUUUAGGAAUAUAAUUCCAGAUACCGACAGAAAUGUCAAAGAAUCAUUCUUCAAUAAAUCAGUUUACUCUGUUCAAACCUUAAGACUCGUUCUCUGAAUGAUUCGUUCAUGACAGACACGGUUCUCGGGUGAUAGCGUGUAAUGCAGUAACUGAUCUCAAAUUCAACUUAUUGCAAAGUGUUAUAAUUUAAUGUGCUGCUUAUUAAUGUAAAAUGAACAGACCUACUGUAUAUCACCGAAUCAUUUUGUAACGGGGUGUGUUUCAGGAACUACAAAUCCCAUCAGCUUCAGUUCUAUAAAAGGAAGUGAUGAGAUUUGUUCUUCUAUUUCCGCCCUUUGGUUUCCGCUGACGAUUUAUGAAUGCAAGUCGCGCCAGAUCUAAGGUAUGGCAUUGUGACUCUAGAUUAGUAAGUCUUGUGAAAUUAUUGUAUAUGUAGUGAUGUGUUGGAUAAUGCGUUGGCCUUCUGUUUGUUGUACGUCUUCCUGUUCAUUGAAAUGGGAGUCGCGGCUGGUUUACGUGUUGCAUGGUGGCAAUAGACCAAAUGUAAGGAUCGUUUGUGCAGUAACAUGUCAAAGAGUGGAACAUUGUUGAGUGUUGAACACGAUGCAUCGUUAGGAGUAUUGUGGCUGGAUGGUUACCCGAGUGUCAUAACCCAAAAUAACGGAUGGUAGAGAUAUUCUUUUUGACCUGACGGUGGCUGCGGGGUUGCCUUCACUGGUGGAUUGCAGUGGUUUGGUGACCUUAUUUUUCUUUCCUCUUAGGUCUGCAGUGUGAUUUGCCGUGAGCUUGUUUGCAGUGGGAGCACAUUUGUUUGUAUGCCCUUCUUGCCUUCACAACCUAGGUAACCUGUGGCCAUCUGCGGGUUUUGUUUGUUUUUUUUCUAUUUUGUUUUCUUUUUAUUUACUUUUCUUUGUGGGUAAUUGUAUUAAUGGUCUGCAGCAUCCUUUUAACAUAAUGUUUGUUUUCUUUUGAAUAAAUGUUUGUUAAAGCUUCACUACCGCCUUCUGCCUGAUUAUUUCCCUCUUUUGGGUCAUGAUGUUACAAUUUAUUCUGCAGGGUGAUUUACACCACUAACACAAAAUUAUGUUUGCUACUCAAAAGUGUUACGGAGAGCCGUGAAAACCUGAAGUGCACUUCUGCUGUCUGGUCUAAGCAUUUUCCCAUGAACACUGUGCUACAUGAUAUGGGACCUGUCAAAAAUGAUGUAUGCCCCAAAAUACAAGGGCAGAAAAUAAAUAUUUUGGUACAAGCUUGAACAAAGUCUCAAAGGAAGGGCCAACAGUUUAUACUGAAACAAGACUUAACUACAUUCUUAAACAGUUUUCCUUAUAUGUAAAAGUCUCACAUCCUGUUCACACUACAUAAUAAAACCAUGUUUUGCUAUUUGUUCUAUAACAGGUUUAUUUUCCUGUCCCACACCACCAUAUGGAAAACCUUACAGCAAUAAAACAUCAUACACUGUAAAAAGUGAUGUUAA
This is a long non-coding RNA of Onychostoma macrolepis, 1558 nucleotides long. RefSeq lists it as uncharacterized. Lineage: Eukaryota; Metazoa; Chordata; Actinopteri; Cypriniformes; Cyprinidae. The transcript is spliced from 3 exons. The record is from RefSeq and is a predicted model, not a curated record.